UACGUAGGGUGCAAGCGUUAAUCGGAAUUACUGGGCGUAAAGCGUGCGCAGGCGGUUGUGUAAGACAGAUGUGAAAUCCCCGGGCUCAACCUAGGAACUGCAUUUGUGACUGCACAGCUGGAGUGCGGCAGAGGGGGAUGGAAUUCCGCGUGUAGCAGUGAAAUGCGUAGAUAUGCGGAGGAACACCGAUGGCGAAGGCAAUCCCCUGGGCCUGCACUGACGCUCAUGCACGAAAGCGUGGGGAGCAAACAGG
RNAcentral lists this ribosomal RNA (253 nucleotides) under uncultured bacterium. RNAcentral describes it as "partial 16S ribosomal RNA". It matches the Rfam family "Bacterial small subunit ribosomal RNA", at positions 524 to 776 of the family's 1533-position model. The record is from RNAcentral.